AUUGAACGCUGGCGGAAUGCUUUACACAUGCAAGUCGAACGGUAGAGGGGGCAACCCCUCGAGAGUGGCGAACGGGUGAGUAAUAUAUCGGAACGUGCCCAGUCGUGGGGGAUAACGUAGCGAAAGUUACGCUAAUACCGCAUACGAUCUAAGGAUGAACGCGGGGGAUCGCAAGACCUCGCGCGAUUGGAGCGGCCGAUAUCAGAUUAGGUAGUUGGUGGGGUAAAGGCUCACCAAGCCAACGAUCUGUAGCUGGUCUGAGAGGACGACCAGCCACACUGGAACUGAGACACGGUCCAGACUCCUACGGGAGGCAGCAGUGGGGAAUUUUGGACAAUGGACGCAAGUCUGAUCCAGCCAUUCCGCGUGCAGGAUGAAGGCCCUCGGGUUGUAAACUGCUUUUGUACGGAACGAAAAGGUCUCUCUUAAUACGGGGGGCUCAUGACGGUACCGAAGAAUAAGCACCGGCUAACUACGUGCCAGCAGCCGCCGUAA
Molecule: ribosomal RNA, 495 nt
Filed under: uncultured bacterium
Lineage: Bacteria
Description: partial 16S ribosomal RNA
Rfam family: Bacterial small subunit ribosomal RNA
Source: RNAcentral